GAGCAGUGGCGACACAAACUCUGGAUCUGACCUGAGUUCCAGCCUCAGAUCUCAACAUGCAUCUUCUCCUGAUGAUUGUCGGAGUCGGGCUUCUCGCUCCAGCUCUGAGCCUCACCUGCUAUCACUGCGCAUCAGAGUCCUGCGUGGAGACGCAGGAGUGCUCCUCACCAGAGCAGCGCUGCUCUGCAGUCAGCGCUGUGAUCCGUGCUCCUGGCAUGGCCGAACAGCGUCAGCACAAUAAAGGCUGUGCUCCUCCUGAGCACUGCGUGGAGAAGUCUUUCAGCACGAGAGACACCAGAUCUGCCAUCAACGUGCAGUGCUGCUCCACAGACCUUUGCAACAGCCGACCAGCUCCCGAACCCAGCAGCAGCCCAAAUGGAAAGAAGUGCUACCAGUGUGAUGGCACUUUCUGCAACGCCACUAUGGACUGUCUGGGCAGCGAGGACUCCUGCUUCACCUCCACAGAGAAGUAUGGCGACAAAAAAACCGACAAGGGCUGCAUUUCCAAGUCCAUCUGUGAUGCUGGAGAAUCACCAUCGCAUAUGGUUUACAAGUGCUGUCAGGGCGACCGGUGCAACGGCGCAGUCGGCAUCAGCGCCGCUCUGCUCCUGCCGGUGGCUCCUCUGCUGACUCGGCUGAUUCUUUAGGAGUUUCCAGAAUGUCUCCAUUUUCCUGUGAUCACCUGCUUCCAUUUUCUCUUUGCGCAACUCUUCUUCGCAUCAGCCAUUUUCUUUAUGAUUUGAAUCGCUGUCUGACUACAUUAAAUUCAUCUGAGUGAAGCUCUUGUUUCUUUAGAGUCGACUGGGUCCAGAGAGUCCUGUGUCUGGCUACAAAGAUGAAACCAUCAGAAGCAGCUCUGCUGAACACUGCUGGCCACGCCUUGACUGGUUCAGUCACUGGAGAGUUCCUGUGUCUCCGUUUGAUAGCGCUUGAAGUAUGAACACUUGAAACGAGAAAGUUCCCGCCAGUCAGACAGUAACACCUCCCGGUGAUGUUCCUCCUCUUUGCUGUAACCUCGAUAACAACCGAAAAUAACCCUGACUGGACUUGCCUUCGAGAUCAUUGUGAAAUAAUUCAAAGACGGGUCACGACACACACAGUAUUGUGUUGAGUCACUGAAGACAUGACAUCGACACCAGGGAAAUGUGCAUGAAACAUUCACCCUCUCCAGGGAUCUGAACCGAACUAAAGCCUGGUUAUAAUGACCCAGUUAUUUUAAUCAUCAAACUGAGGUUCGGACGUGUGAGGUCCGGCCACAGAGUGUGUUUACCAGAAUUAGUCCCCACAAGUACAGUUAAAACAUGUACACACACACAGCACAUUCGAGUUAUAUUAUUCCAUCAUUCAGGACGAUUCCAAUGGACUUUCAGAAAACUGGGUGAAAAUGCAAACAGCUGGACUGAAGCCGCUCCCAGGAAACGCUGAACUGAAUCUGAGGAUUUUUUUUCAUACUCAACCAUCCCGGAAGAAUGAAAAACCACAACUCGAAAACAGAGUUUUGCCUGGGCUUGUGGAGACAGACGCCGCCCUCUCCUCCUCCUCAGAACUUAAACCUGGAUCUCACCCACGUUCCAGCCUCAGAUCUCAACAUGUAUCUUCUGCUGAUGAUGGUGGGAGCCGGGCUCCUCUCUCCAGCCCUCAGCCUGACCUGCUAUCAGUGCCCACUGGGCCCCUCGGGCAGCUGCAGCCCCUCCGCCCAGCAGUGCCCCUCGCCGGAGCAGCGCUGCGCUGCCCACAGGACCAUCGCUUACUACG
Synchiropus splendidus (mandarinfish) is the source of this 1755-nucleotide RNA transcript. It is a transcript of the gene named phospholipase A2 inhibitor PIP-like, with no coding region annotated. The transcript is spliced from 7 exons. The record is from RefSeq and is a predicted model, not a curated record. Lineage: Eukaryota; Metazoa; Chordata; Actinopteri; Syngnathiformes; Callionymidae.